Molecule: ribosomal RNA, 253 nt
Filed under: uncultured bacterium
Lineage: Bacteria
Description: partial 16S ribosomal RNA
Rfam family: Bacterial small subunit ribosomal RNA
Source: RNAcentral
UACGGAGGGUGCAAGCGUUAUCCGGAUUCACUGGGUUUAAAGGGUGCGUAGGCGGGCAGGUAAGUCAGUGGUGAAAUCUCCGAGCUUAACUCGGAAACUGCCGUUGAUACUAUUUGUCUUGAAUACUGUGGAGGUAAGCGGAAUAUGUCAUGUAGCGGUGAAAUGCUUAGAUAUGUCACAGAACACCAAUUGCGAAGGCAGCUUACUAAAGUAUGAUUGACGCUGAGGCACGAAAGCGUGGGUAGCAAACAGG